RNA transcript from Hippopotamus amphibius kiboko, 2578 nucleotides. It is a transcript of the gene named acidic nuclear phosphoprotein 32 family member A, with no coding region annotated. NCBI's taxonomy places the organism in Eukaryota, Metazoa, Chordata, Mammalia, Artiodactyla, Hippopotamidae. The transcript is spliced from 8 exons. The record is from RefSeq and is a predicted model, not a curated record.
ACGCGCGGCCGUGGGUUCGGGGUUUAUUGAUUGAAUUCCGCCGGCGCGGGAGCCUCUGCAGAGAGAGAGCGCGAGAGAUGGACAUGGACAAACGGAUUCAUUUAGAGCUGCGGAACAGGACGCCCUCUGAUGUGAAAGAGCUCGUCCUGGACAACUGUCGGUCGAAUGAAGGCAAAAUCGAAGGCCUCACAGAUGAAUUUGAAGAACUGGAGUUCUUGAGUACAAUCAACGUAGGCCUCACCUCAGUCGCAAACUUACCAAAGUUAAACAAACUUAAGAAGCUUGAACUAAGCGAUAACAGAAUCUCAGGGGGCCUGGAAGUAUUGGCAGAAAAGUGUCCGAACCUCACGCAUCUAAAUUUAAGUGGCAACAAAAUUAAAGACCUCAGCACAAUAGAGCCACUGAAAAAGUUAGAAAACCUCAAGAGCUUAGACCUUUUCAAUUGCGAGGUGACCAACCUGAACGACUACCGAGAAAACGUGUUCAAGCUCCUUCCGCAGCUCACGUAUCUCGAUGGCUACGACCGGGACGACAAGGAGGCCCCCGACUCAGACGCCGAGGGCUACGUGGAGGGCCUGGAGGAUGACGAGGAGGAUGAAGAUGAGGAAGAGUAUGAUGAAGAUGCUCAGGUAGUGGAAGACGAGGAAGACGAGGAGGAGGAGGAGGAAGGUGAAGAGGAGGAUGUGAGUGGGGAGGAAGAGGAGCCUCCAGCAUGCGGAGGGUUUUUGGUUUUGUUUUGGGGUUAGGUUUGUUUUUUUGUUUUGUUUUUUGUAAUCUCAUUGACCAUCUGCAAAUUUCCAGCUUCCAGUAAAGGAGAGCUUACACACACACACACACACACACACACAGUCUUAGCAAACAGACUGAUUAAGGAACUAUUUGGUGACAUUAUAAAAGGAUAUUUCCCUUGACAAAAAGAAGUGUAUUGCCAGGUUCUUUUUAAACAACGGGCUGCCUGGUGCUUCAGGAGCAGUGUUCAUGCAGAGAUUCAACUAGCCUGGACCUACAGGAGCAGCACGAAGCCUGGUCCUGUGCUGAGGGUGAAUUCACACCCUUUGCUGAAUCUCAAGGAACUGGGAGUGGUCCUGGGGGAGCAUUGUAUUUUUCCUCCCCUCCAAGUGAUCCAAGUUUGCAAGACGGUGAAGUGGCUGGACUCACCCAGUCUAGAAUCUAGACUGGGAGUCUUCCCUUGAAGCCAAAACUAGAGUGAGAACAGAUGAAAGCACAGCCUACUUCACGUGCUGGAGAGUCGGCUGGGAAACUUGUUCCCCUCCGAGGGCACACUGCAGAGGAGGAUGAGGAAGGUUAUAACGACGGGGAAGUAGACGAUGAGGAAGAUGAAGAGGAACUUGGUGAAGAAGAAAGGGGUCAGAAGCGAAAACGAGAACCUGAAGAUGAGGGAGAAGAUGAUGACUAAGUGGAAUAACCUAUUUUGAAAAAUUCCUGUUGUGAUUUGACUGUUUUUACCCAUACCCCCCAAAUCCCGCCCCCCGAAACUUAUUUUUUUCUGAUUGUAACGUUGCUGUGGGAACGAGAGGGGAAAAGUGUACUGGGGGUUGUGGGGGGAGGGAGGGUGGGAGGGGGUGGAAUAAAAUACUAUUUUUACUGCCACUCUUUAUUUUUUUUUUUUCCCUACUUUUUCUUUGUGUCUGGUUUUGUCCCUGUAAAUGAGAUAGCUGCCUACACACGAGUGAGCGUUUGUUCCUUACCCUCAAAGAGGACGGUCCGGAGAUCUCUGACGUUUCCUGGUAUUUCGCGAGUCUCUUGAGUUGCUUGGGAGGCCAGGGCUGGCCUCCGUUUGGUUUCUCAAAGCCCAGGAGGGGCUGAGCGCCAGCCGCAUCUUACCUCUCGUUCUGGUUCCGUGAUUUCCGUCUUUCUUGGGCCUGCUAGAGGCAGCCAGCGCCCUGGUUUGUGAAUAGCAAGCGAAAGGCGUAUUUUGGCACUGGUCGGGGGACCUUCCCCGUCUCCUAUCCCCUUUCCCUCUUCACAGAUGGUGGUGGGCUUCGCUCUCCGAAGAAGACUCUGAUGUCACUCUUUCAAGGAGCCAGAGAGCUGAGAACAGCAGGCUUCUGAGUUAGGAGUAAGAUGGAUUUGGUAAUUCUAAUUAAAGGAGAAGAAGCAAACCCUCAAACUUCAACUUCUUUCAAAGAUUUAAAAAAAAACUGUCCUAUCUUGUUCUGUAAAAUAUUAGAACGCUUUGUUUUACAAAAUGACAAGAGAAUUCUUCUACGUGUCCUUCUGUGCUUAGACCAUUUUUACAAACCUAAGCACAGGAGACGCUGCUGCAUGUCGGCUGGGUUUUUUUUUUCAUACACCCGAGCACGGAAAAACUAACGCAAAAUUGUAUUUUCUUACCUAGUGGAAAUCUGAAAUGACUGCAAAUUCCUAGUGAAUGUACAGGUUUGCUUUCCUGUCCCUCUUCUGGAUUGCUUUUGAAGUGACGUGUGAUUCCCUAGCCCGUGUUUCAUCUGUAUAAAAGAACCAUCUGCACUGGUUUUUCUCCCCCUCAGAAGAGCCAAACUUUGAGUUUUAUGUCUGUUUGUCAUUGAUAAAUUUCAAUAAAUCUUUUUAUACAAUU